GCGCCUUAAAGGUGCCUGGCCCGGAAUGGGUGCUCAAUGAAUAUUUCUGAAAUGACUGACUGAAGGCUGUAUAAGGGGAUGCUGUGUCCGGAGUUAGAAUUAAAAAAAGGCAGAGCCACCUCAGACCUCUUCUGCCCUCCUUCUGGUGGUGAAGAUGGAGGCCUUGAGAAGGAUGGAGCCGGAUAGGCCAACCCAGGGCCACUGUGAUGAGUCCAGUGGUGGCCCCCAAAAGAUACACCCUCUUCCAAAUCCAUAGAACCUGUGAAUGUGACCUCAUUUGGGCAAAAAGUCUUUGCUGAUGUGGUUGUUAAGGAUCUUGGCAUGAGGUCAUCCUGGAUCACCUGAGUGGACCCUACAUCCAAUGACAAGCGUCUUUAUAAGAGUGAGGCAGAGAGAGAUUAAAUAGACAGAAGAGGAGGUGAUGUGGAAGUGGAGGCAGGGUGCAUUCAGUGGGCAAUUUGACCAGGGUGGGACUCUCAACCCACCCCUGAUUCAGACCUUUGGAAAUCUCUUAUCCACCAG
This 522-nucleotide long non-coding RNA is filed under the name Equus caballus (horse). Its description in RNAcentral is "lncRNA (ENSECAG00000047667.1)". Lineage: Eukaryota; Metazoa; Chordata; Mammalia; Perissodactyla; Equidae. The record is from RNAcentral.